This 745-nucleotide ribosomal RNA is filed under the name Pseudomonas aeruginosa. RNAcentral describes it as "bacterial SSU rRNA". It matches the Rfam family "Bacterial small subunit ribosomal RNA", at positions 56 to 790 of the family's 1533-position model. Lineage: Bacteria; Pseudomonadati; Pseudomonadota; Gammaproteobacteria; Pseudomonadales; Pseudomonadaceae. The record is from RNAcentral.
UGCAGUCGAGCGGAGAAGGGAGCUUGCUCCUGGAUUCAUCGGCGGACGGGUGAGUAAUGCCUAGGAAUCUGCCUGGUACUGGGGGAUAACGACCGGAAACGGGCGCUAAUACCGCAUACGUCCUGAGGGAGAAAAUGGGGGAUCUUCGGACCUCACGCUAUCGCAUGAGCCUAGGUCGGAUUAGCUAGUUGGUGGGGUAAAGGCCUACCAUCGCGACGAUCCGUAACUGGUCUGAGAGGAUGAUCAGGCACACUGGAACUGAAACACGGACCAGACUCCUACGGGAGGCAGAAGUGGGGAAUAUUGGACAAUGGGCGAAAGCCUGAUCCAGCCAUGCCGCGUGUGUGAAGAAGGUCUUCGGAUUGUAAAGCACUUUAACUUGGGAGGAAGGGCAGUGAAUUAAUACCUUGCUGUUUUGACGUUACCAACACAAUAAGAACCGGCUAACUUCGUGCCAGCAGCCGCGGUAAUACGAAGGGUGCAGGCGUUAAUCGGAAUUACUGGGCGUAAAGCGCGCGUAGGUGGUUCAGCAAGUUGGAUGUGAAAUCCCCGGGCUCAACCUGGGAACUGCAUCCAAAACUACUGAGCUAGAGUACGGUAGAGGGUGGUGGAAUUUCCUGUGUAGCGGUGAAAUGCGUAGAUAUAGGAAGGAACACCAGUGGCGGAAGGCGACCACCUGCCACUGAUACUGACACUGAGGCUGCGAAAGCGUGAGGCGAGCAAGACAGGAUUAGGAUACCCAUGG